UAUAACUCAGUGGUAGAGUACUUUCGUAAUAUGUGAAAGGUCCUGGGUUCAAUUCCCAGUA
Molecule: transfer RNA, 61 nt
Filed under: Ictidomys tridecemlineatus (thirteen-lined ground squirrel)
Lineage: Eukaryota; Metazoa; Chordata; Mammalia; Rodentia; Sciuridae
Description: Spermophilus tridecemlineatus (thirteen-lined ground squirrel) tRNA
Rfam family: tRNA
About the family: Transfer RNA (tRNA) molecules are approximately 80 nucleotides in length. Their secondary structure includes four short double-helical elements and three loops (D, anti-codon, and T loops).
Source: Rfam by way of RNAcentral